UACGUAGGGGGCUAGCGUUGUCCGGAAUCAUUGGGCGUAAAGAGCGUGUAGGCGGCUUGGUAAGUCCGUUGUGAAAGUCCAGGGCUCAACCCUGGAAAGCCAGUGGAUACUGUCAAGCUAGAGUCCGGAAGAGGCGAGUGGAAUUCCUGGUGUAGCGGUGAAAUGCGCAGAUAUCAGGAGGAACACCAAUGGCGAAGGCAGCUCGCUGGGACGGUACUGACGCUGAGACGCGAAAGCGUGGGGAGCAAACAGG
RNAcentral lists this ribosomal RNA (253 nucleotides) under uncultured bacterium. RNAcentral describes it as "partial 16S ribosomal RNA". It matches the Rfam family "Bacterial small subunit ribosomal RNA", at positions 524 to 776 of the family's 1533-position model. The record is from RNAcentral.